GAUGAACGCUGGCGGCGUGCCUAACACAUGCAAGUCGAGCGGCAGCGAGGGGUGCCUGCACCCUGUCGGCGAGCGGCGGACGGCUGAGUAACGCGUGGGAACGUGCCCCAAAGUGAGGAAUAACUGCCCGAAAGGGUAGCUAAUACCGCAUAUUAUCUUCGGAUCAAAGGAUUUAUCCGCUUUGGGAGCGGCUCGCGUCGGAUUAGGUAGUUGGUGAGGUAAUGGCUCACCAAGCCGACGAUCCGUAGCUGGUCUGAGAGGAUGACCAGCCAGACUGGAACUGAGACACGGUCCAGACUCCUACGGGAGGCAGCAGUGAGGAAUCUUCCACAAUGGGCGAAAGCCUGAUGGAGCAACGCCGCGUGCAGGACGAAGGCCUUCGGGUUGUAAACUGCUUUUAUAAGUGAGGAAUAUGACGGUAACUUAUGAUUAAGGAUCGGCUAACUACGUG
Molecule: ribosomal RNA, 451 nt
Filed under: uncultured bacterium
Lineage: Bacteria
Description: partial 16S ribosomal RNA
Rfam family: Bacterial small subunit ribosomal RNA
Source: RNAcentral